This 497-nucleotide ribosomal RNA is filed under the name uncultured bacterium. Its description in RNAcentral is "partial 16S ribosomal RNA". It matches the Rfam family "Bacterial small subunit ribosomal RNA", at positions 28 to 507 of the family's 1533-position model. The record is from RNAcentral.
GAUGAACGCUGGCGGCGUGCCUAAUACAUGCAAGUCGAGCGAACGGACGAGAAGCUUGCUUCUCUGAUGUUAGCGGCGGACGGGUGAGUAACACGUGGAUAACCUACCUAUAAGACUGGGAUAACUUCGGGAAACCGGAGCUAAUACCGGAUAAUAUUUUGAACCGCAUGGUUCAAAAGUGAAAGACGGUCUUGCUGUCACUUAUAGAUGGAUCCGCGCUGCAUUAGCUAGUUGGUAAGGUAACGGCUUACCAAGGCAACGAUGCAUAGCCGACCUGAGAGGGUGAUCGGACACACUGGAACUGAGACACGGUCCAGACUCCUACGGGAGGCAGCAGUAGGGAAUCUUCCGCAAUGGGCGAAAGCCUGACGGAGCAACGCCGCGUGAGUGAUGAAGGUCUUCGGAUCGUAAAACUCUGUUAUUAGGGAAGAACAUAUGUGUAAGUAACUGUGCACAUCUUGACAGUACCUAAUCAGAAAGCCACGGCUAACUACGUG